Ovis aries (sheep) is the source of this 72-nucleotide transfer RNA. It matches the Rfam family "tRNA". From Rfam's summary of the family: Transfer RNA (tRNA) molecules are approximately 80 nucleotides in length. Their secondary structure includes four short double-helical elements and three loops (D, anti-codon, and T loops). The record is from Rfam. NCBI's taxonomy places the organism in Eukaryota, Metazoa, Chordata, Mammalia, Artiodactyla, Bovidae.
UCCCUGAAGCCUCAGCUGGUAAAGAAUCUGCCUGCAAUGCAGGAGACCUGGGUUCAAUCCCUAGGCUGGGAA